CGGGAAACUGAGGCCAAUCCCGGAUACUACUUUCAUGUUGGAACACAGAAAGUCGGAAACGGUCCGCCGCCGGAGGACGUGACUGCGGCCGAUUAGGUAGACGGUGGGGUAACGGCCCACCGUGCCGAUAAUCGGUACGGGUUGUGAGAGCAAGAACCCGGAGACGGUAUCUGAGACAAGAUACCGGGCCCUACGGGGCGCAGCAGGCGCGAAACCUUUACACUGCACGCCAGUGCGAUAAGGGGACCCCGAGUGCGAGGGCAUACAGUCCUCGCUUUUCGUGACCGUAAGGUGGUCACAGAAUAAGAGCUGGGCAAGACCGGUGCCAGCCGCCGCGGUAAUACCGGCAGCUCGAGUGAUAGCCACUAUUAUUGGGCCUAAAGCGUCCGUAGCCGGCCGAACAGGUCCGUCGGGAAAUCCACCCGCUCAACGGGUGGACGUCCGGCGGAAACCAGUCGGCUUGGGGCCGGGAGACCAGAGAGGUACGUCCGGGGUAGGAGUGAAAUCCUGUAAUCCUGGACGGACCGCCGGUAGCGAAAGCGUCUCUGGAGAACGGACCCGACGGUGAGGGACGAAAGCUUGGGUCUCGAACCGGAUUAGAUACCCGGGU
Molecule: ribosomal RNA, 610 nt
Filed under: uncultured archaeon
Lineage: Archaea
Description: bacterial SSU rRNA
Rfam family: Archaeal small subunit ribosomal RNA
Source: RNAcentral